GAGGGUGUAGCUCAGUGGUAGAGAGCAUGCUUAGCAUACAUGAAUGAGGUCCUGGGUUCAACCCCCAGUACCUCCA
RNAcentral lists this transfer RNA (76 nucleotides) under Camelus bactrianus (Bactrian camel). It matches the Rfam family "tRNA". Rfam says of the family: Transfer RNA (tRNA) molecules are approximately 80 nucleotides in length. RNAcentral also lists the same sequence under 2 other names. Lineage: Eukaryota; Metazoa; Chordata; Mammalia; Artiodactyla; Camelidae. The record is from Rfam by way of RNAcentral.